GAGCCGGUAGCCUAGUUUGGAUAGGGCAACUGCCUCCUAAGCAGUAGGUCGGGAGUUCGAAUCUCCCCCGGCUCG
Molecule: transfer RNA, 75 nt
Filed under: Candidatus Iainarchaeum sp.
Lineage: Archaea; Nanobdellati; Candidatus Iainarchaeota; Candidatus Iainarchaeia; Candidatus Iainarchaeales; Candidatus Iainarchaeaceae
Description: tRNA-Arg
Rfam family: tRNA
About the family: Transfer RNA (tRNA) molecules are approximately 80 nucleotides in length.
Source: RNAcentral